Molecule: ribosomal RNA, 394 nt
Filed under: Oreella chugachii
Lineage: Eukaryota; Metazoa; Tardigrada; Heterotardigrada; Echiniscoidea; Oreellidae
Description: bacterial SSU rRNA
Rfam family: Eukaryotic small subunit ribosomal RNA
Source: RNAcentral
UAAGAUUAAGCCAUGCAUGUCUCAGUACUUGCCGAAAUAAGGCGAAACCGCGAAUGGCUCAUUAAAUCAGUUAUGGUUUACCCGACAGUACCAGUACAUGGAUAACUGUGGUAAUUCUAGAGCUAAUACAUGCAGCAAUCCCUGAUCCUUUUGGACACGGGAGCAGUUAUUAGAUCAAAACCAAUCGGCUGUGCUUUCGGGUACGGCCGCUCAUUUGGUGACUCUGAGUAACCACAGCAAACCGCAUGGCCUUUGUGCCUGGCGGUCUGUCGGUCAAGCAACUGCCUUAUCAGCUUGUCGUUAGGUUAUAUGCCUAACGAGGCGUCAACGGGUAACGAACGAUCGGGGUCGGACAUCGGAGAGGGAGCCUGAGAAACGGCUACCACAUCCAAGA